AGUCUUCCUAUUGCCAAUGUUAAACACAACACAGGUUCAAAAAGCCGAAGUCUGAGAAUUAAGAUCCCUCGAUACGAGAGAAAGGUUAUUAAGACGUACUUUUCUUAGCUCUCAUUUCUGAUCUUCUUCUCAAGUAGUUAGCAUAAUUAAUCUGUUUCCACCAUGGGUUGCUCGAAGCAUGCAGGAACUUCCAUGCCCGCCGCUACAAGAAUUCAACAUUUCAAUGAAGAAGUUUUAGUAACGAAAUACAAGUCUAAUCACAAAAAAUUCAUAAUAUUUAGUGAUGAAAAUAAGAAGUGGUCACAACAAACUAAUUUGGCCUACAUCUUUGAUGAUGAAACAAAAUGCCCGUCAUAAUAUCUAUAUUUUGUGACUAUUUUUUAUUUUAUUAUAAAAAAUUUAUCUUUCUGCCGAUUUUUAUUAGCACGUGCCGGUUAGCUCCGCGGCUUUUGCCGGCGUUGUUCACCUUGGUAUUAACCGGAGUGAAGGAGGUCGGUUUAAUCUGAGGUCCAGAUGUCCAAUAUAAGAUGUUCUUGUGCCUAACAAAAAUCUUUUAAUGCAUGCAUCAUAGAAAAUUGAUUUCAUUUUUGGGACAUAGAACUCGUUUGGUUCGCGAGAAAAAUUCUUUCUCAUCAGAAUAUUUUAUUUUGGAAAGCUGAUUCCUAAGAAUAUGAUGCCUAGAAUAAUCAUCCUCUA
Molecule: long non-coding RNA, 696 nt
Filed under: Phoenix dactylifera (date palm)
Lineage: Eukaryota; Viridiplantae; Streptophyta; Magnoliopsida; Arecales; Arecaceae
Description: long non-coding RNA (PDAC_LNC019061)
Source: RNAcentral